CACCGCGGUUAUACGAGAGGCCCAAGUUGACAAAAACCGGCGUAAAGAGUGGUUAAUAGUGAUCAAACUAAAGCCGAACACCUUCAAAGCCGUCAUACGCACCCGAAGGCAGGAAGACCCCCAACGAAAGUGGCUUUAACCAAGUAUGAACCCACGAAAGCUAGGGUA
This 168-nucleotide ribosomal RNA is filed under the name Istigobius goldmanni. RNAcentral's name for it is "partial 12S rRNA". The record is from RNAcentral. Lineage: Eukaryota; Metazoa; Chordata; Actinopteri; Gobiiformes; Gobiidae.